RNAcentral lists this ribosomal RNA (467 nucleotides) under uncultured bacterium. RNAcentral describes it as "partial 16S ribosomal RNA". It matches the Rfam family "Bacterial small subunit ribosomal RNA", at positions 28 to 507 of the family's 1533-position model. The record is from RNAcentral.
GACGAACGCUGGCGGCGUGCUUAACACAUGCAAGUCGAACGGAAAGGCCUCAGCUUGCUGGGGUACUCGAGUGGCGAACGGGUGAGUAACACGUGGGUGAUCUGCCUUGCACUCUGGGAUAAGCUUGGGAAACUGGGUCUAAUACCGGAUAUGAACUGCCUUUAGUGUGGUGGUUGGAAAGUUUUUUCGGUGCAAGUUGAGCUCGCGGCCUAUCAGCUUGUUGGUGGGGUAAUGGCCUACCAAGGCGUCGACGGGUAGCCGGCCUGAGAGGGUGUACGGCCACAUUGGGACUGAGAUACGGCCCAGACUCCGACGGGAGGCAGCAGUGGGGAAUAUUGCACAAUGGGCGGAAGCCUGAUGCAGCGACGCCGCGGGGGGGAUGACGGCCUUCGGGUUGUAAAAUCCUUUCGACAGGGACGAAGCUUUUUGUGACGGUACCUGUAGAAGAAGCACCGGCUAACUACGUG